GAGUUUACCUUUUUUGAAGAAUCAGAACAAUGUUGUGCUGAGAUACGGAGUCUAUCAACGUUGGGAGGGUCGCCGUAGAGCGAUCGAAACUCCUGUAAAGUGAGGUUAAUGUCUUCAUUUGAGAUAUCGUAUCCUCUGUCUCGGAGCAUCUCCAUGGUGGUUCGACGCGCCAGGUAAUAGCUGUGACUGUCCACACGUGAUUCAUCAAGGGACUUGCUCAGACCAGAGCCAACCGCUAACUCCUUACCUUUCCCCUCCAUCGUCUCUCUCGCGGGGAGGGAAAAAGCAUGCAAGCUUGAAUGUAGGAUUUUGCAGACGGCAUGAUGUUUUGUCGUUUUUAUUUGCGGGUGACGGUUUUACGGUGACAUCGAAUGAAGUAUGCAACAGGGUUUUAGUGGUAGCCAAUGAGCAAGCAGGUGAUGUAGUCAAAGGUGAGUAAAUGGUAGCUUUAGUGCUUCUUAUUGGCAUUGGUUUUGUAGUGGGAAACUCAAUACAAAUUUUGGCUCAAGACAUUUUAUAUAAAAAUAUUAUACAUUUUGGGGACAUGCAAAUAUAAACAUUAAUGAAGGCAUGUUUCCCUUGUUAUGAUGUUAUCUCUUGGGGACAUAUUUUUUAUGACUAGUCUAUGGGCUGGGUUUGUCGGAUUUAGUGCGGUGGUCAUGAGCUCGCCUGUCGGGUUCAGGUUCCGCUGAAGUUCGGUGGUCAAUCAAGGCUACGGGCUCUCCGUUCUGAAGCCAAUCAUAGGUGUUUUGUUAUGUUUCUAUGUUAGUAUAUGGUCCUUAGUUGGUUGAUUUGUGGUCUUGAGGCUUUGACGGCUUGGACAUCCUUGAAGACCUGGUCGAGUUUGCGUUGCUCUUUCUCGCUAUGCUUGGGUUGCUUCUUCAUCUUCGAAUCUGUUUUCUGGUGCGCGGUGCAGGAAUAAAUCGGCUCUGAUGUGGGUAGCUACUUCUUUCAUCGAAUUUGGUGAGGUGGUUUAGGUGGGUUUGCGAUGGUUCUGCGCUAUCGGCUCUCUUCUCUGUCCUCUAAGGUCGUCUUUGUUGAAGGUUCUAUAAGUUAUGGCCAGUGUUGAUGCUAUGUUUGUGAGUAAGAGUUCUCUGAAUUUAUGGAGUUUGGUGGUCUUGAGACAGUGGUGCUUAGUGUUAUCAGUUUGGGUCUUUCAGCUGUGCUCUAAGUUCUUGACUUCUGCUUUCAGUAGCGUCAUAUGUCCUCCGGGCUCGUCUUCGGUAAGGUCUUGAUGCUCGACCCUUGUGUUUACUAAUGAUUGGAUCAUUGUGAAGCCUCGAUAGUGCGUUGUCAUGCCGUUUCUUGGUUUUAAACCAACGGGUUUCUCCGGAUUUCUUGGUAAGAAACUGUGGAGCUCUAGCUCAAUUGCGUUGGGUCUUUGAGUAGUUAGAUUGUCAACCUGUUCUUCGUCGGCUGCUCGGAUGGAGAUCCGCCUUCUCGUGGCUUCCAAAAGUUGAAGCUUGUUCUUGAGUGGCGUGUGCUCGGGAUCCUCUGUUGGAUCGUGUCUUGGAGCUCUUCUAUCAUCCUAAUAAUUCCGACCUUCAACGCUUUCUUCGUUAAUCACGGCUUCCCUAUCGAGUUGCUUUGCUAUAUUGAUACUUGUUUUAGCUCCAUUAAUUUUUCAGUGGUCUUGUUCCUUCCUAGCCUAUGUCUUGAUAGUUGUCGUAUUGUUUUCAUCUUUGUCUCUAGGUAGUAAUGUUUACUACGCUGGCUGUUGGCUCCGGAAGGGAUCUUUACCUUUGCUGGCUUUGUGUAAUUCACGUUAUAAGUUUGAAUAUUAAUCCAACAGAUGACAAAAAAAAAAAGAACGAAUAUCGCUCAACCUUUUUCUUUAAAAAUAAUUUAACUAGGGAAGAUUGCAAGGAAAACAUCCAACAUAUUUUUAUGUAUCUAUCCAUUAGUAAAAGUUAGGUUUAAGAACUUUAAUAAUGAGCAUGUGAAUUGAUUGGGAAACUUAGAAUGUAAGCAAUCAGUUUAUCAUCACUAACUAAAAAUUUGAAACAUCAAAUCUAUUAUGGUGUAAAGAUUAACACGAACGAGAUUGAGACAUUACAUGAGGAAACAUCAUAUAAAACACACACAUAGAUAUAAAUAAUUAUGAAGGAAGAAAAAGAGAGAAACAAAUAAAAAAGUAGAAAAGCCAAUAUUUAUGGGAGUGUCAGUGUCAUCUCUACAAUGUAGAGCCCAAUCAAUCCGAUCUAGUGUUUUCGGUCAGUGUUCCUUUCAUACCAUGGCCAAUAAAACAUUUUCUUGGCUGUAUUAUCUAGCCAGAAAAUAGAACAUGAGAAUAAAAGAAUAGAGAAAAAUAAUAAUGAUAAAUGUUAAAAUCAUUAAAACAUUUAAAAUAUGCUUUCAAGAGUAGUUUAUAAAUUUUGUGGGAGAUUUGCCUCUUUGUAAUGUGUAAAAUUAAAUUAUUUUUUUGUUUGACAAUAUGUAUGCAGUGAAGUCUUUAAUAUCAGUUUAAAAAUCAAUUAUUGUGAUAUAAACAUUCAAUUUUGUUUAAUCAGGUGAAAAAAAACAUUCAAUUUUGUUAACUCAUAUUAACUCUUUGAAAGCUUUACCCAGUUCACAAUGAACCAAACUUGUAUGCAAGGAGUGAUUGAAAUAACAUCUGAAACCUCCUGUGGUACCCUUUAGUUCAUUCAUUACCUAACGUUUUUUUGGUUUCUCUCUUUAGCGUGUCUCUUACGGUAUGACAACUAAAAGGCAAAGGUUUUCAGAACAAAUAUUUCUAUUUAUAUCGAAUCAAAGAAGACACCAUAGAUAGAUAUCAUAUGAUCUCUGAGUACAAUCACCUUCCUUUUUGGACUUAGAAGCACACACAAAACGUACACAGAGUUAUGCAUUUGCUCAUUUACACUCAAAAACAGAAUAUCCUUCUUUUUUACACCGAUCACUCAUCGUUUGUCUCAAGGGCAGAUUGUAAUACUUCUUCUAAAUACUUUUCCGCGGCUGCAAACUGUCUCUUCUUGUCCUCGAUUGCUAGUGCAGCCAGAGCUUUGUCCUGUUCAAAGAAAUAAGGAAGCAAUCUACUGUAAACCAAGUCUAGCAACAACCAAUAGCAAAGAGAAUGUUGCUAUGCUGAUCAGUGAAAAAUAUACAUUAGAUAAAAAGUUAUGAUAAUAAUACUUUGCUGUAUAUAACAAAACUCAAAAACAACUUUAGCCAUGAAGGUAUCUCAUCCUCAAAGGAGUAUGUAAAAAAAGUGAAAGGAGAAGAAGAUGUCUACCUCAUACUUCUUGUACUGCUGUAUAUACUGAUCCUCCUUAGCCGCCAUUACUUCCAAAUUCGUUUUCCAAUUCUCCAUCUGUGACUCACAAGGGACCACAUCUUCUUCUAGCUGCGCAAGGAUUCUGUAAAAUCCUCAACAACAUAUAAAGUAAUAUCACCACUCACCAUCAAGAUCAUAUUCACAUCUAUCAUAACCAAUCUUACUUCUUCAAAUACGUCAGCCUCUGAAUCGCUUUCCUCGUAUACUCAAGCAGCACAUUAGACUCCUUCUUUGCUUUAGCCCUCUUCUCCUCAACUCCAGUCUUCCUCAGAGAAACAUCUCCCAUCGCAACAAGGAAACUACACAAACACAUCAGCUCGAAAUAGCAAUACACAUGUAAACAAGAGAACCAACACCAAACUCACCUGCUCAUCUCAGUGUCUCUAACGUUCAACAAGAACUUGAGCUGAAGAAGAGACCACAUAAAUAUCACAUAAAUUUGGUCUAUUAUGUUUUUUUUUUGUGUGCAACUGGUCUAUUAUGGUUUAUAAUUUUAAAUUAUUAUGCACUUAUCAGAGGUUGCUUCGAGUUCGAGGUAGCUAGCUCUGGACUAUAUCGAAAAUCAGGUGAUUGGCUUUAUCAUCAUACAUUGUUUGGUUUAGAAACCACAAGAAACGCACAGAGUUUACAGCUUUUGACAUCAAGACAUGAUACGUAUUGCCACAUACAAAUUAAGAGAGAUAAGAAUACAAACAAAACGAGAUUACCAAACGCAUCGGUAUAAAACAUGAUCAGACUCACUGCCCUCGCCCUUGUAUGUGACCUCCACGACUUGCCCUUUCUCUAGUCCGUAGUAUUUCGCUGUCGGGUCUUUCUUCAAUAACUUUGGAAGCUAACAAAAGCGAAAAAUAUAUUUUAAAAAUGUUUACUUAAAGAAAGCUGGCUGGCUCAAGCUACUAGCUAGCAACGAUCCAAGUAUAAGAAAACAUUCUUACUUGUUGCUCCUCAAUACUGAACUUCUUGAAGAGUGAUUCCUUCCCUUGAUCAUUCAGAACCCGAUGUUUUGGCCUCAAGACAUGUUUGGUUAUGUUAACCAGCAAUUCGGUUAACUAACAACAACAAAAAAAAAAAGCACAACCAAGAUGUUACAAAUCUACUGAGAAUUAAAGUCGAAGCAAUUGAUCAUAACUAAACAAAGUAUCAAUAUAAACGUACAUGGAAUAACUCGACUUUGAAGGAGAAAAGUUCAACGGCUUUUAGAGCUUGAUUUGUUAUAUCACUUUGGAGAACCAAUAUCAGUCCGGUUAAAUUUUCUCGACCAAGUACAUCGGCUGCUAUUUCGCGUAUCGCAUUGACUUUAACUAUACCACUUCCGCAAAACACAACAGCUAUCUAAUAUUCAAAACAGAGAAAUUGCUUGGUGCAUAGCAGAGCAACAACUUAUUUAUAUUAACCCUUUAAAAUUUGGAAGCUAAAGCUAAUGUUUCAUUGUGAGAUGUCUAGGACCGGCUAUGAACAGCAGCCAAACAUAAAUAAGUCUUUCUUCAAAGAAACAAUACUUUUUUUUGUCAGAGAUCUAUAAUCAUUUUAUUAAGAGAUCUCUGGAAUCAAGAGAUCGCCUAAAAUAUAUAUCCAAUAUACUUAUUUUACAAAUACAUAACAUCUCGGGGAUUAUCUCGAAUAUAUUUCCAUAUAGUUAUUAGAAAAUAGUAACGAAAACUUCGAAUAUUUUGUCACCUUGGCAGAAAAAUAUCAACAUGCAGACUGAUAUUGGUUCCAGAACAAUGCUAUAAAAUCGACAUUACAUUCUGCAUGGCAUUGGAGUUUACCUUUUUUGAAGAAUCAGAACAAUGUUGUGCUGAGAUACGGAGUCUAUCAACGUUGGGAGGGUCGCCGUAGAGCGAUCGAAACUCCUGUAAAGUGAGGUUAAUGUCUUCAUUUGAGAUAUCGUAUCCUCUGUCUCGGAGCAUCUCCAUGGUGGUUCGACGCGCCAGGUAAUAGCUGUGACUGUCCACACGUGAUUCAUCAAGGGACUUGCUCAGACCAGAGCCAACCGCUAACUCCUUACCUUUCCCCUCCAUCGUCUCUCUCGCGGGGAGGGAAAAAGCAUGCAAGCUUG
RNAcentral lists this long non-coding RNA (5333 nucleotides) under Brassica napus (rape). RNAcentral's name for it is "long non-coding RNA (BNAP_LNC008232)". The record is from RNAcentral. Lineage: Eukaryota; Viridiplantae; Streptophyta; Magnoliopsida; Brassicales; Brassicaceae.